UGGCACAGUGGUUAAAGCACUCAGCUGUUAGCUGAUAGGUCGGUGGUUCGAACCCACC
Molecule: transfer RNA, 58 nt
Filed under: Loxodonta africana (African savanna elephant)
Lineage: Eukaryota; Metazoa; Chordata; Mammalia; Proboscidea; Elephantidae
Source: Rfam by way of RNAcentral